This 488-nucleotide ribosomal RNA is filed under the name uncultured Archaeorhizomycetes. Its description in RNAcentral is "eukaryotic LSU rRNA". It matches the Rfam family "Eukaryotic large subunit ribosomal RNA", at positions 84 to 573 of the family's 3401-position model. The record is from RNAcentral. Lineage: Eukaryota; Fungi; Ascomycota; Archaeorhizomycetes.
UAGUGGCGAAUGAAGCGGGAAAAGCUCAAGUUUGAAAUCUGGCGGGCGACCGUCCAGAGUUGUAAGCUGGAGAGGUGUCGUCGGAUGCGGUCCGGGCUCAAUUUCCUUGGAACAGGAGGUCAUGGAGGGUGAGAACCCCGUAUGUGGCUUGGGUGCCGUGGCCCUCGUGACGUAUCCUCUAAGAGUCGGGUUGUUUGGGAAUGCAGCUCAAAAUGGGUGGUAAAUUUCAUCUAAAGCUAAAUAUUGGUGAGAGACCGAUAGCAAACAAGUAGAGUGAUCGAAAGAUGAAAAGUACUUUGAAAAGAGAGUGAAACAGUACGUGAAAUUGUUGAAAGGGAAGCGUUUGGCAUCAGCCCAUGGCGGCGGUCGAACAUCUGGGCUUCUGCCCAGUGCAUUCUGCAGUCGCCGGGCCAGCGUCGGUUCCACCUGGUGGAGAAAGGCCUUGGGGAAGUGGCACUCCCUUGUGGAGUGUGUUAUAACCCAUGGCG